GACACGCUGGCGGCGUGGAUUAGGCAUGCAAGUCGAACGGUAUCAUCCUUCGGGGGUGAGAGAGUGGCGAACUGGUGAGUAACACGUAGGUUAUCUACCCUCAAGACGGGGACAACCCAGGGAAACUUGGGCUAAUACCGGAUGUGAGCAACUUUUAGUUGUUUGAAAGGUGGCGUAAGCUGUCGCUUGGGGAUGAGCCUGCGUCCUAUUAGUUAGUUGGUGAGGUAACGGCUCACCUAGGCAAUGAUAGGUAGGCGGCCUUAACGGGUGGUCGCCCACACUGGGAUUGAGAUACGGCCCAGACUCCUACGGGAGGCAGCAGUCGAGAAUAGUCUACAAUGGUCGGAAGACUGAUAGUGCGACGCCGCGUGAACGAUGAAUCCCUUCGGGGUGUAAAGUUCUUUUAUAUGUGAGCAGUGCUUCUUAUAUUAACAGUAUGGGGAGAGAGAUAUUAGCAUAUGAAUAAGCAACGGCUAACUCCGUG
Molecule: ribosomal RNA, 484 nt
Filed under: uncultured bacterium
Lineage: Bacteria
Description: bacterial SSU rRNA
Rfam family: Bacterial small subunit ribosomal RNA
Source: RNAcentral